CCUACGGGUGGCAGCAGUGGGGAAUAUUGGACAAUGGGCGAAAGCCUGAUCCAGCCAUGCCGCGUGUGUGAAGAAGGCCUUCGGGUUGUAAAGCACUUUCAGUGGGGAAGAAAGCCUUGGGGCUAAUACCCUCGAGGAAGGACAUCACCCACAGAAGAAGCACCGGCUAACUCCGUGCCAGCAGCCGCGGUAAUACGGAGGGUGCGAGCGUUAAUCGGAAUUACUGGGCGUAAAGCGCGCGUAGGCGGUCUGAUAAGCCGGUUGUGAAAGCCCCGGGCUCAACCUGGGAACGGCAUCCGGAACUGUCAGGCUAGAGUGCAGGAGAGGAAGGUAGAAUUCCCGGUGUAGCGGUGAAAUGCGUAGAGAUCGGGAGGAAUACCAGUGGCGAAGGCGGCCUUCUGGACUGACACUGACGCCGAGGUGCGAAAGCGUGGGUAGCAAACAGGAUUAGAUACCCGGGUAGUC
Molecule: ribosomal RNA, 465 nt
Filed under: Vreelandella stevensii
Lineage: Bacteria; Pseudomonadati; Pseudomonadota; Gammaproteobacteria; Oceanospirillales; Halomonadaceae
Description: partial 16S ribosomal RNA
Rfam family: Bacterial small subunit ribosomal RNA
Source: RNAcentral